This 300-nucleotide ribosomal RNA is filed under the name uncultured Methanobrevibacter sp. RNAcentral describes it as "bacterial SSU rRNA". It matches the Rfam family "Bacterial small subunit ribosomal RNA", at positions 496 to 795 of the family's 1533-position model. The record is from RNAcentral. Lineage: Archaea; Methanobacteriati; Methanobacteriota; Methanobacteria; Methanobacteriales; Methanobacteriaceae.
GUACAGGACGGGUCGGACGGCGCGGGAGUACGUAGGGUGCGAGGGUUGGCCGGAAUUAUGUGGGUGAAAGGGCUUGUAGGUGGGUUGGAGCGGCGGCUGUGAAAAUCCGAGGCUCAACCUCGGACUUGCAGUGGGUACGGGCAGAGUAGAGUGUGGUAGGGGAGACCGGAAUUCCUGGUGUAGCGGUGGAAGGCGCAGAUAUCAGGAGGAACACCGAUGGCGAAGGCAGGUCUCUGGGCCAUUACUGACACUGAGAAGCGAAAGCAUGGGGAGCGAACAGGAUUAGAUACCCCAGUAGUC